This 253-nucleotide ribosomal RNA is filed under the name uncultured bacterium. RNAcentral's name for it is "partial 16S ribosomal RNA". It matches the Rfam family "Bacterial small subunit ribosomal RNA", at positions 524 to 776 of the family's 1533-position model. The record is from RNAcentral.
UACGUAGGGUGCAAGCGUUGUCCGGAAUUAUUGGGCGUAAAGAGCUCGUAGGCGGUUUGUCGCGUCGAAUGUGAAACCCGGGGCUCAACCCCGGGCCUGCAUUCGAUACGGGCAGACUAGAGUUCGGUAGGGGAGUCUGGAAUUCCUGGUGUAGCGGUGAAAUGCGCAGAUAUCAGGAGGAACACCGGUGGCGAAGGCGGGACUCUGGGCCGAUACUGACGCUGGAGGAGCGAAAGCGUGGGGAGCAAACAGG